This is a long non-coding RNA of Bufo gargarizans (Asiatic toad), 570 nucleotides long. RefSeq lists it as uncharacterized. Lineage: Eukaryota; Metazoa; Chordata; Amphibia; Anura; Bufonidae. The transcript is spliced from 3 exons. The record is from RefSeq and is a predicted model, not a curated record.
CUGAAAUCUCACUAAUACGGAGAACUCCAAAGAAGGAAGUAAAAAAAGCCACCAUGAACAACGAGGUCUCAUAUUGCAAGGAGCAUACCUUAGCGACCGGAGGAAGCGGGGGCGGGGCCUCAACGUUGAGUCGCUCUGCAAUGAUGUCAGAGUGGCGAGCCGGCUCUGCACUCCUAAAAGGAUAGGCAGCGCAGACCGGAUCAGUUGAUUGAAGAUCCGGAUGAGAGUCAGCAGGCAUUUCCAGGCACCUCUUGAGCCACGUUUCUCCUCCAGAUGAUUCCGCUCUGCAGAUAACUUCCCUGAGGAGUUCUUCCAUGUCGGAGUCUUCAGAUUCCAGUCCGGGUCUCGUCGCUGCCGUUAUCUGAAUGCGUACCAACUGUCAUUCGCUCUCUUUUAUAGGUACUCACGAGCCAGCUUGGAUUACCUCCUAUCAGGUGAAGAUCUUUCCCGCACGAGUUCUGCAGACUGCACCACUUGGCAUCUGUUACCAGGAGAAUAAUAAUUCCUCCAGUAGGCUGAUAGUCUGGGACACAGCCAAGGCAGUCCUGAGAGGACUUCUGUUCAAAAAGG